UGAGGAAUAUUGCACAAUGGAGGAAACUCUGAUGCAGCAACGCCGCGUGGAGGAUGACGCAUUUCGGUGUGUAAACUCCUUUUAUAAGGGAAGAAAAUGACGGUACCUUAUGAAUAAGCACCGGCUAACUCCGUGCCAGCAGCCGCGGUAAUACGGAGGGUGCAAGCGUUACUCGGAAUCACUGGGCGUAAAGGACACGUAGGCGGGAUGCCAAGUCUGAUGUGAAAUCCUAUGGCUUAACCAUAGAACUGCAUUGGAAACUGGUAACCUAGAGUAUGGGAGGGGGAGAUGGAAUUAGUGGUGUAGGGGUAAAAUCCGUAGAUAUCACUAGGAAUACCGAAAGCGAAGGCGAUCUCCUGGAACAAUACUGACGCUAAGGUGUGAAAGCGUGGGGAGCAAACG
Molecule: ribosomal RNA, 402 nt
Filed under: uncultured bacterium
Lineage: Bacteria
Description: bacterial SSU rRNA
Rfam family: Bacterial small subunit ribosomal RNA
Source: RNAcentral